Molecule: long non-coding RNA, 1480 nt
Filed under: Medicago truncatula (barrel medic)
Lineage: Eukaryota; Viridiplantae; Streptophyta; Magnoliopsida; Fabales; Fabaceae
Description: long non-coding RNA (MTRU_LNC002995)
Source: RNAcentral
GACUGUGAAACCUUUACCCCUUAUUUUUCGGUACUUUGUUCUUACAAGGUACAUGUACUUAUCUUACUUAUAUAUAUUAUUGAUCAGAUGGGACAUUAGAUUGGACUUGAGAUAAAAUUUAUGAUUUAGUUCUUCCUUUAGUAGUUUGCGUCUACUGUCUACUACAGUUGGAUAGUGUCGGAUCACCAGUUACCUUGCAAAUCAUGUCCUUGUUUGUUACUACCAUUUACUGGUAGUUAAAAAAAAAUAUUAAUUAUCUUUUUGAUUUUCGCAUUAUAACCAACUCACAAAAUUGAUCAUAUCCUUUUAAAAUCGAACAAAGCAGUUCAUAUACACUACCAUUUUUUUUUUACACUUUUGAUCCUUAUCCCAUUUUAGCUUCCAAAAAAGCUGAUGUGUCGUAUUUUUUUAUGAGGUGUCCAAAAAAGUACUUAGGUGGCAAAUCACAAGUGGAAAAACACUUGUACACACGUCAGCAAAUCAUAUUUUAUUAAUUAAAAAAACACAUUUAUAUAAGUUAACAAUUAAAAAAUAAAUCAAAAAUUAAAAAUAAAUACACUACUCAUAUUCCUCUCUUCAUCCUUGGCAGCAAACUCUCUGAACCCCUGGAAAAAUUAACAACAACAUUCGUGUUCAUCUCUUCUUCCUUAGCACAAAAAGGUAACAACAUCACAAAUUUCUCCCAUCAUCAACCUAGGGAUAAAACUCAUACUUAAAAAACCAUCACACACCAACACAUCUCUCUUCUCUCACAUCUAUCCCAAAUCAAAACAAACCAAAAUCUGAAAUUUGAAUCCGAAUCCGAAUCUGAAAUUCGAAUCCAACUCCAAGAGGUUCAUGGUAUCAUAAACCCAAAUUCAAAUCUGAAAUCAUUGUUUUUGAUUUAUGAGAAAAUGGGUGGCAUCAACCCAAAUCCAAAAAUCCAUAUUCACUCAAAGGACAAGAACAGAUUCGCUGUAAAAAGAUCUUUGUAGAAGAUGAAGAUGAAGUGUUGUUCUUCUUUGUGUCUUCAAAGGACAGGAACAAAUCUUUGUUUUUUGUAAAGUUUUAAUUUUUUUGUUUGUGUGUAAAGUUUGAAUCUUUGUUUGUUAUAGAGUUGAGAUCUGGACAUAUAAAGGGAUAAAGAUCUUGUCUGAUGAGAUUGUAACGAAACAAAAUCUAGUUCAGGAGAAGAGAAAUGGAAUUGGGGAUUUUGAGAAACUAGGGUUUCUAUUAAGUUUCCUCCUUGUAUAUUUUUAAUUUUUAAUUUGUUAUUAUUUGUUAAAAUGUUUUUUCAUAAUAAUAUAAUUAAUUUCUUCAAUUUUAUAAAUGAUAUUAUCCACAUAUGCAGUGCCACAUAGGUGUUUUAUUUGCCACAUCAGUUAAAAAUAUGACAUGUGCGUUUUUGGAGGAUAAAAUGGGGGUAGGACGAAAAGUGCAACAAAAAUGAUAAUUGAAAGACAUGACAGUUUUGUUCUGAUUUAAAAGGGCAGGUUAAAAC